RNAcentral lists this long non-coding RNA (902 nucleotides) under Dromaius novaehollandiae (emu). RNAcentral's name for it is "lncRNA (ENSDNVG00000018980.1)". Lineage: Eukaryota; Metazoa; Chordata; Aves; Casuariiformes; Dromaiidae. The record is from RNAcentral.
UUUCCUUUUUUUUCUUUUCCAGGAGUAGUUUGCAGCUAGAUAUGGUGAUUGGUCUAACCAACUUGCAUCAUGAAAUUAUAAAACUAAUACAACAGAGGGGGGAAGAGAGGGACUGAAACUGCUCCUCUGCUACCAUGCUCUUACUGUGAUCAACUUCGACCAUCCUGAAAUUGCACCAGUAAUCUCUGUAGUGCAUGUGGCUAUCUCUUGGUGGCCUGGCCCAACUCGUUGCAUGUUUCCUCACCAGCUUCUUCCAGCAGUGUAGUAGAAUGGUCUAGACCUAACUCAGACUGCUAACAUUAACAGACCAUCCAAAUGUGUCCUCAUUCGGGAAAGAUUGAGUAUAAGAUGCAGAUGGUCACUCAAAGAUGACUUUAAAAGAAAGAGCUCAUUUUCUAUGUAUAUGUUUGUCCUGGACCAGAAAUGUUGGUUACCAAAGAAGAAGAGGCAAACUGUGGGUACAAGUCGAGAAAUGAAAGACUCUUCAGGAUGAAAUGGAGAUAUGUCAUGUGGAGAGGAGCUCUGGCUGCAUUUCUGCUUUAUUGGAUCUGUUCGUUUCAAGUCAAGCUGUACAAAAGUGGAAACCAACUUGAAAGAUAAGUCAUAAUCCUGUGGCGCCAGUGACAGCAUAAAACAAAGUUGGAUAAGUAGCUGGGAGAAGGAUACAGAAUGUAUGAUUUAUAAGAUCGUCUGGAAGUUUUGCGUAGUUAUUACGACAAAGGUGAGUCACAACAUUAGUCAAAAACUGAAUUAUUUUUGGAAAAUAUACAGGAACAUUUAAUGUGUUUUUCAGUGUGGUUCUGAAAACAUGCAUUUGCUCUUGUUUAAUGUCUCCUGGUUUUACCUUUUCUUUAUGAUUAAAACCCUGGACACUUACUUAAAUAAAAGUACCUUGACUUCCA